RNAcentral lists this transfer RNA (72 nucleotides) under Planctomycetaceae bacterium. Its description in RNAcentral is "tRNA-Gly". It matches the Rfam family "tRNA". From Rfam's summary of the family: Transfer RNA (tRNA) molecules are approximately 80 nucleotides in length. Their secondary structure includes four short double-helical elements and three loops (D, anti-codon, and T loops). RNAcentral also lists the same sequence under 1 other name. The record is from RNAcentral. Lineage: Bacteria; Pseudomonadati; Planctomycetota; Planctomycetia; Planctomycetales; Planctomycetaceae.
GCGGGCGUAGCUCAAUGGUAGAGCGUCAGCCUUCCAAGCUGAAUGUUGAGGGUUCGAAUCCCUUCGCCCGCU